GACGAACGCUGGCGGCGUGCUUAACACAUGCAAGUCGAACGGAAAGGCCCUGCUUUUGUGGGGUGCUCGAGUGGCGAACGGGUGAGUAACACGUGAGUAACCUGCCCUUGACUUUGGGAUAACUUCAGGAAACUGGGGCUAAUACCGGAUAGGAGCUCCUGAUGCAUGGGGGGGGUUGGAAAGUUUCGGCGGUUGGGGAUGGAAUCGCGGCUUAUCAGCUUGAUGGGGGGGUAGUGGCUGCCCAAGGCUUUGACGGGUAGCCGGCCUGGGAGGUUGGCCGGCCACAUUGGGACUGCGAUACGCCCCAGACUCCUACGGGAGGCAGAAGUGGGGAAUAUUGCACAAUGGGCGGAAGCCUGAUGCAGCAGCGCCGCGUGCGGGAUGCCGGCCUUCGGGUUGUAAACCGCUUUCGCCUGUGACGAAGCGUGAGUGACGGUAAUGGGUAAAGAAGCACCGGCUAACUACGUG
RNAcentral lists this ribosomal RNA (468 nucleotides) under uncultured bacterium. RNAcentral's name for it is "partial 16S ribosomal RNA". It matches the Rfam family "Bacterial small subunit ribosomal RNA", at positions 28 to 507 of the family's 1533-position model. The record is from RNAcentral.